UAACAGGGCCAACUCUUUGUCUCGGUGUUA
Molecule: non-coding RNA, 30 nt
Filed under: Rattus norvegicus (Norway rat)
Lineage: Eukaryota; Metazoa; Chordata; Mammalia; Rodentia; Muridae
Source: RNAcentral